UUCAUCGGAUAUAGGUAAUAUUUAGGGUAUAAUGUUUACCCUAUUUUACUCUCAACUUAACUUCUCCCCUAACAAAAUGCCUCUCUCUCUUUCAUCCUCACAACGCCGCUCGACACCAGAGAAGGAAUUAGCCGUCGCUCCAUCGCCACUCACCAGCGUUCUGCCAUCGUGAAACUCCUUGGAGUUCACUGGCCACCAUCGUUCAACGGUUCCGAUAAGGAACCUAGACCCAUCCCCAAAACUCUCAUAACCACACCAUUAACAUCUUCUUCCCUCACUUUUCUCUCAACUUCGGUGAUCACCAAGCUACACUCGACGAGGGCUGCGCCCCCAAGGCUCGGACGAUGUCAACCCUGCUCUCGGCUCCUUUACACUCGGCGAAAACCCCAGACGAAUAACGUUUACCCAAUGACAAGAUUCGAAAGAAAACAACUUCAAUGGAUGCCAUGAUUGGUAGUCUCAUUCACGCAGAUGAGAGCAACAGUGAAGCACACAGCAUCUCUGGUGGGUGGCGGGUCGGAUCUUGUAACCGGGUCUAGAUCCGGAUCUUGGGCUUGAACCAACAUCUUGUAAUUGAGUUGAUAUUUAUAACUGCUUUUUGGUCUUUGUUGGGCUUCAAGUUAAUUGUUGGGCUGUAAAA
Hibiscus syriacus is the source of this 640-nucleotide long non-coding RNA. RefSeq lists it as uncharacterized. The transcript is spliced from 3 exons. The record is from RefSeq and is a predicted model, not a curated record. Lineage: Eukaryota; Viridiplantae; Streptophyta; Magnoliopsida; Malvales; Malvaceae.